UAUAGGCCGUGGCUACUAUACUAUUAUGAGUAUUGGAGCCCUUGUACUUAUAAGUUGCUUUCGAUGAUGGAGCUUAUGAAUCGACGAUCCACUCCGUUAAAUAUGAUCUAGAGUAUUUGAAACUUCUAAAAAAUAAAUUUUGUAAAUUUUCGAAAUCAUAAUAAAGUCCAUCAAGCGGGCAUAAAAUAAACGGUCAAAAUCAAACGACGUCCUAAAAAAGGAUGAUCGGAUCCUUCAAUUCAAGAUCGGAGUUAUUGAUCUUUAUCUAGGUAGUGAAUAGAAUUUUCUAUAAAAAAUUCAACAAAUUUUGAUUCUUUUACACCGUUAAACUAGCAAGUAUCGCAUACCGGCCAUUAAAAAUUAUCAAAUUUGUGACCUCUUGAUCGUAAGGUAAAUGAUGUCGAAAAAUUAUAAAAUUUGAUUUCUAGAAGUUUUAAAUGCUGUAAAUAACGUUUAACGGUAUGGAUCGUCGAUUCGGAAGCUCUAUCAUCGAAAUGAUUUAUGAGUAUGAGAGCGAUCAUACUCAUAAUAGUAUAAUAGCCGGACCCAUAUAGGCUAGAGCUACUAUCCUAUUAAUAGGAUAGGAGCACUUGUCCUAUCAAAUUGUUCUUGAUGAUAGAGAUUCCAAAUCGAUGAUCGGAGCCGUUGAAGUUGAUCUAAAGUAUUUGAAAUAUCUAGAAACUAAAUUUCAUAAAUUUUAAAAAUUAUUUACAUGGUGAUCAAAGUGUUGUAAAAUUGACAAUUUUUGAUGGCCUAUAUGAGCCGUUUACUUGUUUUACGGUGUAGAGUAAUUCAAAUUGCUUGAAUUUUUUAUAGAAAAUUCUUUAUACUAUUUAGAUAAUGUUUGAUAACUCUGAUUAUGAAUUGAGAAAGUUUAACCUCUAUUUUAAGAAGGUUAUUCAUUUAUGACCGUUCAUUUUUCAAUUCUUAAGAUGAACUUGAUAAUGAUUUUUAAAUAUUACGAAAUUUGGUUUCUAAACAUUUCUAAUUGUGUAGACCAAUUUCAACGGUGCCGAUUAUCAAUUUGGAGUGUCCAUUAUUCAAAACGAUUUGAUAGGACAACGGUCUCAAUCCUAUUAAUAGGAUAGUAGCCGGACUCUCUCUCUCUCUCUCUCUCUCUGGUAUGCUUAUGGAAGCACGGAGCCCUCUGUGCUUCCAAGUUGUUUUCGAUGUUCGGACUUUCGAAUCGACGAUCGGCUUUGUUAGACUUAAUCAAGAGUAUUUGAAGUACCUAGAAAAUAAAUUUUGUGAUUUUUCGAUAUCAUUUGCUUAGUGAUCGAAGGGGCUCAAAAUCAAUAAUUUUAACGGUCGUGGUGAGCCGGUUGCAAGUUUAACGGUGUAGAAAUAUCCAAAUCAUAUAAAAUUUUGAUAGAAAAUUCUUUAUACCAUAUAAAACAAGAUCAAUAACUUUGAUCUAAAAUUUUAAUGUCAUAUCAUCAUAUUUUGUAAGAUUUUUAUUUUCAGCCGUUGAUUUUGAGCCACUUCAAUCACUAGGCAAAUAAUAUCGAAAAAUCGCAAAAUUUAUUUUCUAGAUACUUCAAAUACUCUAGAUCAAGU
RNAcentral lists this long non-coding RNA (1557 nucleotides) under Ananas comosus (pineapple). RNAcentral's name for it is "long non-coding RNA (ACOM_LNC008974)". Lineage: Eukaryota; Viridiplantae; Streptophyta; Magnoliopsida; Poales; Bromeliaceae. The record is from RNAcentral.